RNAcentral lists this ribosomal RNA (494 nucleotides) under uncultured bacterium. Its description in RNAcentral is "partial 16S ribosomal RNA". It matches the Rfam family "Bacterial small subunit ribosomal RNA", at positions 28 to 507 of the family's 1533-position model. The record is from RNAcentral.
GACGAACGCUGGCGGCGUGCUUAACACAUGCAAGUCGAACGGAAAGGCCUGCUUUCCCUUGUGGAUUGCGGGUACUCGAGUGGCGAACGGGUGAGUAACACGUGAGUGAUCUGCCCCCAACUUGGGUAUAAGCCUGGGAAACUGGGUCUAAUUCCCGAUAGGACUGCAGGGUGGUGCCUGUGGUGGAAAACGAUUUUCUAGUGGUUGGGGAUGAGCUCGCGGCCUAUCAGCUUGUUGGUGGGGUAAUGGCCUACCAAGGCGGCGACGGGGAGCCGGCCUGGGAGGGUAGACGGCCACAUUGGGACUGAGAUACGGCCCAGACUCCUACGGGAGGCAGCAGUGGGGAAUAUUGCACAAUGGGCGGAAGCCUGAUGCAGCGACGCAGCGUGGGGGAUGACGGCCUUCAGGUUGUAAACUCCUUUCGGCCGCGAGGAAGCCACCUGGUUGGAAGGGUGGUGACGGUAGUGGUAGAAGAAGCACCGGCUAACUACGUG